This 625-nucleotide ribosomal RNA is filed under the name Colletotrichum coccodes. RNAcentral's name for it is "eukaryotic LSU rRNA". It matches the Rfam family "Eukaryotic large subunit ribosomal RNA", at positions 1 to 648 of the family's 3401-position model. The record is from RNAcentral. Lineage: Eukaryota; Fungi; Ascomycota; Sordariomycetes; Glomerellales; Glomerellaceae.
GUUGACCUCGGAUCAGGUAGGAAUACCCGCUGAACUUAAGCAUAUCAAUAAGCGGAGGAAAAGAAACCAACAGGGAUUGCCCCAGUAACGGCGAGUGAAGCGGCAACAGCUCAAAUUUGAAAUCUGGCCCCAGGCCCGAGUUGUAAUUUGCAGAGGAUGCUUUUGGCGCGGUGCCUUCCGAGUUCCCUGGAACGGGACGCCAUAGAGGGUGAGAGCCCCGUACGGUUGGACACCAAGCCUUUGUAAAGCUCCUUCGACGAGUCGAGUAGUUUGGGAAUGCUGCUCAAAAUGGGAGGUAUAUUUCUUCUAAAGCUAAAUAUAGGCCAGAGACCGAUAGCGCACAAGUAGAGUGAUCGAAAGAUGAAAAGCACUUUGAAAAGAGGGUUAAACAGCACGUGAAAUUGUUAAAAGGGAAGCGCUUGUGACCAGACUUGCGUCCGGUGAAUCACCCAGCUCUCGCGGCUGGGGCACUUCGCCGGCACAGGCCAGCAUCAGCUUGCCGUCGGGGACAAAAGCUUCAGGAACGUAGCUCUCUUCGGGGAGUGUUAUAGCCUGUUGCAUAAUACCCUUCGGCGGGCUGAGGUACGCGCUCCGCAAGGAUGCUGGCGUAAUGGUCAUCAGCGAC